This 203-nucleotide long non-coding RNA is filed under the name Elaeis guineensis (African oil palm). RNAcentral describes it as "long non-coding RNA (EGUI_LNC013561)". The record is from RNAcentral. Lineage: Eukaryota; Viridiplantae; Streptophyta; Magnoliopsida; Arecales; Arecaceae.
CCGUGAACAAUCAAUCAUUCAGUGUUCAAAAUGAUAACAGUAGAGUUCAAGUGACACGAUCUGUAGCUUUUUUUCCCAACGGAGAACCCUUGGGUCCUCUCUCAACAGAGUCCACUUACUCCGUGACCACCACGCUCUAUCCUAUCAAAUAUGGACUUACUUUUGCAGCAUCAAACUAGGAAUGAUUAAAGACACCAACCAUC